CCAAUAGCGUAUAUUAAAGUUGUUGCAGUUAAAAAGCUCGUAGUUGAAUUUUGGAUUCUUCCAAUUGGUCCAUCUUUUAGAUGAGUACUGGUUGUGUGGGGUCUAUCCGCCUGGUGAUACGUAAUGUCCUUUAUUGGAUGUUGCGAGUAGUCAGGACCUUUACCUUGAAAAAAUUAGAGUGUUUAAAGCAGGCUUAUGCCGGAAUACAUUAGCAUGGAAUAAUAGAAUAGGACGAAGUUGUUUUAUUUUGUUUGUUUCUAGGACAACCGUAAUGAUUAAUAGGGAUAGUUGGGGGCAUUAGUAUUCAAUUGUCAGAGGUGAAAUUCUUGGAUUUAUUGAAGACUAACUACUGCGAAAGCAUUUGCCAAGGAUGUUUUCAUUAAUCAAGAACGAAAGUUAGGGGAUCGAAGACGAUCAGAUACCGUCGUAGUCUUAACCAUAAACUAUGCCGACUAGGGAUCGGGCGAUGUUGUUUCCAUGACUCGCUCGGCACCUUAUG
This 499-nucleotide ribosomal RNA is filed under the name uncultured Glomeromycotina. Its description in RNAcentral is "partial small subunit ribosomal RNA". It matches the Rfam family "Eukaryotic small subunit ribosomal RNA", at positions 591 to 1092 of the family's 1831-position model. The record is from RNAcentral. Lineage: Eukaryota; Fungi; Glomeromycota.